Molecule: ribosomal RNA, 492 nt
Filed under: uncultured bacterium
Lineage: Bacteria
Description: partial 16S ribosomal RNA
Rfam family: Bacterial small subunit ribosomal RNA
Source: RNAcentral
AGUGAACGCUGGCGGUAGGCCUAACACAUGCAAGUCGAACGGCAGCACAGUAAGAGCUUGCUCUUACGGGUGGCGAGUGGCGGACGGGUGAGGAAUACAUCGGAAUCUACUUUUUCGUGGGGGAUAACGUAGGGUAACUUACGCUAAUACCGCAUACGACCUACGGGUGAAAGCAGGGGAUCUUCGGACCUUGCGCGACUGAAUGAGCCGAUGUCGGAUUAGCUAGUUGGCGGGGUAAAGGCCCACCAAGGCGACGAUCCGUAGCUGGUCUGAGAGGAUGAUCAGCCACACUGGAACUGAGACACGGUCCAGACUCCUACGGGAGGCAGCAGUGGGGAAUAUUGGACAAUGGGCGCAAGCCUGAUCCAGCCAUACCGCGUGGGUGAAGAAGGCCUUCGGGUUGUAAAGCCCUUUUGUUGGGAAAGAAAAGCAGCAGGUUAAUACCCCGCUGUUCUGACGGUACCCAAAGAAUAAGCACCGGCUAACUUCGUG